RNAcentral lists this ribosomal RNA (253 nucleotides) under uncultured bacterium. RNAcentral's name for it is "partial 16S ribosomal RNA". It matches the Rfam family "Bacterial small subunit ribosomal RNA", at positions 524 to 776 of the family's 1533-position model. The record is from RNAcentral.
UACAGAGGGUGCAAGCGUUGUUCGGAAUCAUUGGGCGUAAAGGGCGCGUAGGCGGCCUUGUAAGUCGGGUGUGAAAUCCCAGGGCUCAACCCUGGAAGUGCACUCGGUACUGCGAGGCUCGAAUCUCGGAGAGGGUGGUGGAAUUCCCAGUGUAGAGGUGAAAUUCGUAGAUAUUGGGAGGAACACCGGUGGCGAAGGCGACCGCCUGGACGAAGAUUGACGCUGAGGCGCGAGAGCGUGGGGAGCAAACAGG